RNAcentral lists this ribosomal RNA (615 nucleotides) under Levinseniella sp. 1 JB-2023. Its description in RNAcentral is "partial large subunit ribosomal RNA". The record is from RNAcentral. Lineage: Eukaryota; Metazoa; Platyhelminthes; Trematoda; Plagiorchiida; Microphallidae.
CUUUGAGAGAGAGUAACAGUGCGUGAAACCGGUCAGAGGUAAGCGGGUGGAGUUGAACUGCAAGCUCUGAGAAUUUCGCCGGUGAGUGUGGUUUGAGCUUGGUCAAGUCGGUUGGGCCCUGGAGUCUGUGUAGCAGCAGGCCUCUGCCGUUUUGGUGGGGGUGCGCGGUACACUUGUCAAGUGUUGCGCGCUCUGGGUGUUCUUCGGGCCGACUCGCCGGUUCACUUUCUCAGAGUAGUCACCACGACCGGCACUGCUGUCUGGCUGUUGCGGUUAAACCGGUUUCGCAUUGUCCCCGUGGCUCUGCUUGAUCGGGAUGGCAGGUAGCUCGUUGGCUAGCUUGUGGCUUGCUGCAGGCAAUCGGUCUUCGAGUGUAAUCAGCUGACCGUUUCGGUUUUGUGCAGUGUGUCGGAGACGGCGGCUUUUGUGUGUGCGUGCGUGCCGGGUUGGCCGGCCUGUCCGAGUUCUGGUUGUUAUGUAGCCUGUGAAUGCAGGCCUGAUGAUGGCUCGGGCUGGUUCGGUCGACGGUUGCGUGCGUGACACGGUUGCAUGGGCCAAUAGUCUGUGGUGUAGUGGUAGACUAUCCACCCGACCCGUCUUGAAACACGGACCAAG